This 769-nucleotide ribosomal RNA is filed under the name Brevibacterium sp. RNAcentral describes it as "bacterial SSU rRNA". It matches the Rfam family "Bacterial small subunit ribosomal RNA", at positions 26 to 802 of the family's 1533-position model. Lineage: Bacteria; Bacillati; Actinomycetota; Actinomycetes; Micrococcales; Brevibacteriaceae. The record is from RNAcentral.
AGGACGAACGCUGGCGGCGUGCUUAACACAUGCAAGUCGAACGCUGAAGCCUGCAGCUUGCUGUGGGUGGAUGAGUGGCGAACGGGUGAGUAACACGUGAGUAACCUGCCCCUGACUCUGGGAUAAGCCCGGGAAACUGGGUCUAAUACCGGAUAUGACCAUUCUCCGCAUGGAGUGGUGGUGGAAAGUUUUUCGGUUGGGGAUGGGCUCGCGGCCUAUCAGCUUGUUGGUGGGGUGAUGGCCUACCAAGGCGACGACGGGUAGCCGGCCUGAGAGGGCGACCGGCCACACUGGGACUGAGACACGGCCCAGACUCCUACGGGAGGCAGCAGUGGGGAAUAUUGCACAAUGGGGGAAACCCUGAUGCAGCGACGCCGCGUGGGGGAUGACGGCCUUCGGGUUGUAAACCUCUUUCAGUAGGGAAGAAGCCUUCGGGUGACGGUACCUGCAGAAGAAGUACCGGCUAACUACGUGCCAGCAGCCGCGGUAAUACGUAGGGUACAAGCGUUGUCCGGAAUUAUUGGGCGUAAAGAGCUCGUAGGUGGUCUGUCACGUCUGCUGUGGAAACGCAAGGCUCAACCUUGCGCGUGCAGUGGGUACGGGCGGACUAGAGUGCAGUAGGGGAGUCUGGAAUUCCUGGUGUAGCGGUGAAAUGCGCAGAUAUCAGGAGGAACACCGGUGGCGAAGGCGGGACUCUGGGCUGUAACUGACGCUGAGGAGCGAAAGCAUGGGGAGCGAACAGGAUUAGAUACCCUGGUAGUCCAUGCCG